Molecule: ribosomal RNA, 516 nt
Filed under: Candida albicans
Lineage: Eukaryota; Fungi; Ascomycota; Pichiomycetes; Serinales; Debaryomycetaceae
Description: partial large subunit ribosomal RNA
Rfam family: Eukaryotic large subunit ribosomal RNA
Source: RNAcentral
CGGCGAGUGAAGCGGCAAAAGCUCAAAUUUGAAAUCUGGCGUCUUUGGCGUCCGAGUUGUAAUUUGAAGAAGGUAUCUUUGGGCCCGGCUCUUGUCUAUGUUCCUUGGAACAGGACGUCACAGAGGGUGAGAAUCCCGUGCGAUGAGAUGACCCGGGUCUGUGUAAAGUUCCUUCGACGAGUCGAGUUGUUUGGGAAUGCAGCUCUAAGUGGGUGGUAAAUUCCAUCUAAAGCUAAAUAUUGGCGAGAGACCGAUAGCGAACAAGUACAGUGAUGGAAAGAUGAAAAGAACUUUGAAAAGAGAGUGAAAAAGUACGUGAAAUUGUUGAAAGGGAAGGGCUUGAGAUCAGACUUGGUAUUUUGCAUGCUGCUCUCUCGGGGGCGGCCGCUGCGGUUUACCGGGCCAGCAUCGGUUUGGAGCGGCAGGAUAAUGGCGGAGGAAUGUGGCACGGCUUCUGCUGUGUGUUAUAGCCUCUGACGAUGCUGCCAGCCUAGACCGAGGACUGCGGUUUUUACC